GCCUUCAUAGUGUAGUGGUCAGCACGCUCGACGCGUAACCGAGAAGUCCAUGGUUCGAUUCCCGGCGAAGGCC
This 73-nucleotide transfer RNA is filed under the name Stegodyphus mimosarum. It matches the Rfam family "tRNA". Rfam says of the family: Transfer RNA (tRNA) molecules are approximately 80 nucleotides in length. Their secondary structure includes four short double-helical elements and three loops (D, anti-codon, and T loops). Lineage: Eukaryota; Metazoa; Arthropoda; Arachnida; Araneae; Eresidae. The record is from Rfam by way of RNAcentral.